This 253-nucleotide ribosomal RNA is filed under the name uncultured bacterium. RNAcentral's name for it is "partial 16S ribosomal RNA". It matches the Rfam family "Bacterial small subunit ribosomal RNA", at positions 524 to 776 of the family's 1533-position model. The record is from RNAcentral.
UACGGGGGGGGCAAGCGUUGUCCGGAAUUAUUGGGCGUAAAGAGCUCGUAGGCGGCUUGUCGCGUCGACUGUGAAAACCCGGGGCUCAACUCCGGGCCUGCAGUCGAUACGGGCUGGCUUGAGUGCGGUAGGGGAGACUGGAAUUCCUGGUGUAGCGGUGAAAUGCGCAGAUAUCAGGAGGAACACCGGUGGCGAAGGCGGGUCUCUGGGCCGUAACUGACGCUGAGGAGCGAAAGCGUGGGGAGCGAACAGG